This 64-nucleotide transfer RNA is filed under the name Lygodactylus sp. RNAcentral describes it as "tRNA-Trp". The record is from RNAcentral. Lineage: Eukaryota; Metazoa; Chordata; Lepidosauria; Squamata; Gekkonidae.
AAAUUUAGGGUCAUUAAACCAAGGGCCUUCAAAGCCCAAACCAGGGCCAACGCCCUAAUUUCUG